CCUACGGGAGGCAGCAGUGGGGGAUAUUGCACAAUGGGGGGAACCCUGAUGCAGCGACGCCGCGUGGGUGAAGGAGUGCUUCGGCAUGUAAAGACCUAUCGGCAGGGAAGAAGCAAGACGGUACCUGACUAAGAAGCCCCGGCUAACUACGUGCCAGCAGCCGCGGUAAUACGUCGGGGGCGAGCGUUAUCCGGAUUCACUGGGUGUAAAGGGAGCGUAGACGGCCAUGCAAGCCAGGGGUGAAAGCCCGGGGCCCAACCCCGGGACUGCCCUUGGAACUGUGCGGCUAGAGUGCGGGAGGGGCAGGCGGAAUUCCUGGUGUAGCGGUGAAAUGCGUAGAUAUCAGGAGGAACACCGGCGGCGAAGGCGGCCUGCUGGACCGCGACUGACGUUGAGGCUCGAAAGCGUGGGGAGCGAACAGGAUUAGAUACCCGGGUAGUC
This 441-nucleotide ribosomal RNA is filed under the name uncultured bacterium. RNAcentral's name for it is "partial 16S ribosomal RNA". It matches the Rfam family "Bacterial small subunit ribosomal RNA", at positions 338 to 795 of the family's 1533-position model. The record is from RNAcentral.